Molecule: transfer RNA, 78 nt
Filed under: Caudoviricetes sp.
Lineage: Duplodnaviria; Heunggongvirae; Uroviricota; Caudoviricetes
Description: tRNA-Asp
Rfam family: tRNA
About the family: Transfer RNA (tRNA) molecules are approximately 80 nucleotides in length.
Source: RNAcentral
GGGAGUGUAGCUUAAUUGGUUAGAGCAUACGACUAUCCAUUGUAAUGCAAGAGUUCGAGUCUCUUCUCUCCUGCCGCA